GACGAACGCUGGCGGCGUGCUUAACACAUGCAAGUCGAGCGGUAAGGCCCUUUCGGGGGUACACGAGCGGCGAACGGGUGAGUAACGCGUGGGUGACCUGCCUUUAGCUCUGGGAUAAGCCUGGGAAACUGGGUCUAAUACCGGAUACGACUCCGCGGUGCAUGCUGUGGGGUGGAAAGCCUUGUGCGGCUGGAGAUGGGCCCGCGGCCUAUCAGCUUGUUGGUGGGGUGAUGGCCUACCAAGGCGACGACGGGUAGCCGGCCUGAGAGGGCGACCGGCCACACUGGGACUGAGACACGGCCCAGACUCCUACGGGAGGCAGCAGUGGGGAAUCUUGCGCAAUGGGCGAAAGCCUGACGCAGCGACGCCGCGUGAGGGAUGACGGCCUCGGUUGUAA
This 397-nucleotide ribosomal RNA is filed under the name uncultured bacterium. Its description in RNAcentral is "bacterial SSU rRNA". It matches the Rfam family "Bacterial small subunit ribosomal RNA", at positions 28 to 428 of the family's 1533-position model. The record is from RNAcentral.